AUAGAGUUUCUUUAUGAAGA
This 20-nucleotide small nuclear RNA is filed under the name Arabidopsis thaliana (thale cress). RNAcentral's name for it is "snRNA_01682". Lineage: Eukaryota; Viridiplantae; Streptophyta; Magnoliopsida; Brassicales; Brassicaceae. The record is from RNAcentral.